UCUGAGGUCAUCAUUACGUCCAUCCUGGGUGGGAAUCUGUCUACAUUUACCUUUAAUUACUGGGUCUAAAAACAUGGAAAAGUCCCAGAUACUAAAAUAAACCCAGUUUCACAGAAGCACCCAUUUAGAAAAAUGUGGAGUUGUCAUUAUUUAUAUUUUAUUCUGAUAGUAUUU
This is a long non-coding RNA of Sphaeramia orbicularis (orbiculate cardinalfish), 174 nucleotides long. RefSeq lists it as uncharacterized. The record is from RefSeq and is a predicted model, not a curated record. Lineage: Eukaryota; Metazoa; Chordata; Actinopteri; Kurtiformes; Apogonidae. The transcript is spliced from 3 exons.